UACGUAGGGUGCGAGCGCUAAUCGGAAUUACUGGGCGUAAAGCGUGCGCAGGCGGCGCGUUAAGACAGGUGUGAAAGCCCCGAGCUUAACUUGGGAAUUGCGCUUGUGACUGGCGUGCUGGAGUGUGGCAGAGGGAGGUGGAAUUCCACGUGUAGCAGUGAAAUGCGUAGAGAUGUGGAGGAACACCGAUGGCGAAGGCAGCCUCCUGGGCCAGCACUGACGCUCAUGCACGAAAGCAUGGGGAGCAAACAGG
This 253-nucleotide ribosomal RNA is filed under the name uncultured bacterium. Its description in RNAcentral is "partial 16S ribosomal RNA". It matches the Rfam family "Bacterial small subunit ribosomal RNA", at positions 524 to 776 of the family's 1533-position model. The record is from RNAcentral.